Molecule: ribosomal RNA, 450 nt
Filed under: uncultured bacterium
Lineage: Bacteria
Description: partial 16S ribosomal RNA
Rfam family: Bacterial small subunit ribosomal RNA
Source: RNAcentral
GUGGGGAAUUUUGGACAAUGGGCGCAAGCCUGAUCCAGCAAUGCCGCGUGCAGGAAGAAGGCCUUCGGGUUGUAAACUGCUUUUGUACGGAACGAAACGGUCCUGGCUAAUACCCGGGGCUAAUGACGGUACCGUAAGAAUAAGCACCGGCUAACUACGUGCCAGCAGCCGCGGUAAUACGUAGGGUGCGAGCGUUAAUCGGAAUUACUGGGCGUAAAGCGUGCGCAGGCGGUGCUGUAAGACAGGCGUGAAAUCCCCGGGCUCAACCUGGGAAUUGCGCUUGUGACUGCAGUGCUGGAGUGCGGCAGAGGGGGAUGGAAGUCCGCGUGUAGCAGUGAAAUGCGUAGAUAUGCGGAGGAACACCGAUGGCGAAGGCAAUCCCCUGGGCCUGCACUGACGCUCAUGCACGAAAGCGUGGGGAGCAAACAGGAUUAGAAACCCCGGUAGUCC